UUGGGUUAGUGGCGGACGGGUGAGUAACGCGUGGGUAACCUGCCUUACACAGGGGGAUAACACUUAGAAAUAGGUGCUAAAACCGCAUAAGCGCACAGCUUCGCAUGAAGCGGUGUGAAAAACUCCGGUGGUGUAAGAUGGACCCGCGUCUGAUUAGCUUGUUGGCGGGGUAACGGCCCACCAAGGCGACGAUCAGUAGCCGGCCUGAGAGGGCGGACGGCCACAUUGGGACUGAGACACGGCCCAGACUCCUACGGGAGGCAGCAG
RNAcentral lists this ribosomal RNA (267 nucleotides) under uncultured bacterium. Its description in RNAcentral is "partial 16S ribosomal RNA". It matches the Rfam family "Bacterial small subunit ribosomal RNA", at positions 87 to 354 of the family's 1533-position model. The record is from RNAcentral.